RNAcentral lists this ribosomal RNA (501 nucleotides) under uncultured bacterium. RNAcentral describes it as "partial 16S ribosomal RNA". It matches the Rfam family "Bacterial small subunit ribosomal RNA", at positions 30 to 523 of the family's 1533-position model. The record is from RNAcentral.
AUUGAACGCUGGCGGCAGGCUUAACACAUGCAAGUCGAGCGGAGAUGAGGUGCUUGCACCUUAUCUUAGCGGCGGACGGGUGAGUAAUGCUUAGGAAUCUGCCUAUUAGUGGGGGACAACAUUCCGAAAGGAAUGCUAAUACCGCAUACGUCCUACGGGAGAAAGCAGUGGAUCUUCGGACCUUGCGCCAAUAGAUGAGCCUAAGUCGGAUUAGCUAGUUGGUGGGGUAAAGGCCUACCAAGGCGACGAUCUGUAGCGGGUCUGAGAGGAUGAGCCGCCAAACUGGGACUGAGACACGGCCCAGACUCCUACGGGAGGCAGCAGUGGGGAAUAUUGGACAAUGGGGGGAACGCUGAUCCAGCCAUGCCGCGUGUGUGAAGAAGGCCUUAUGGUUGUAAAGCACUUUAAGCGAGGAGGAGGCUACUGAGACUAAUAAUCUUGGAUAGUGGACGUUACUCGCAGAAUAAGCACCGGCUAACUCUGUGCCAGCCGCCGCCGUAA